Molecule: small nucleolar RNA, 82 nt
Filed under: Nomascus leucogenys (northern white-cheeked gibbon)
Lineage: Eukaryota; Metazoa; Chordata; Mammalia; Primates; Hylobatidae
Description: Small nucleolar RNA U3
Rfam family: Small nucleolar RNA U3
About the family: Small nucleolar RNAs (snoRNAs) are involved in the processing and modification of rRNA in the nucleolus.
Source: Rfam by way of RNAcentral
AAGACUAUACUUUUAGGGAUCAUUUCUGUAGUUUUUUACUAGAGAAGUUUCUCUGAAAGUGUAGAGCAAAAAAAAAAGGGUU